AGAUAAGAUCAAGUUAAUUCUCAGACAGUACAAUUGCUGAAUUGGAGCAACCUGCAGCAGGCCAGGAGGGAGGAUCCUGGGAGGUUCAGGGAGUCGUAGGGUGGGCACCCAAGGAUUGGCUCUCCUUGUUUGAAAAUGAUGGGUGUGACUGCCUGGCUCUUGCCAUGGAAAAGUGAAGUCUAAAUGCAAGAAGUUGUCUUUGUGCCCCAUGGAUCGGGAUGAUGAAGCCGGCUGCUGUUCUUUGCUGGGCCUUCUGAAUAAAAUUUAGAAGCUCAAGCUUGAUUGAAGAGUUACACUUUGUUACUAAGAAAACAUUAAUGUGAAUGGAAACUACAACUCACUCAACGCAUCAGUUUACUUGCACCGAACUUGUUAAAAAGCGAGCCCUGCUCAACAGCUCAGUCCACAGUCCACACUGCUGGAAGUUUGUAGAAUCGGGUGCCCUAAAUACACUUUAAAAUCUAGAUUCAAAGACUAAUCAGUCAUAUUUACAUGAAGACCAUCUCUGAAAGGGGAGAAAAUGAGAACAGAAGUAACUUUAUUUGAGAAACAGUGUGAUUUCUUUGGACAUUUAAACAAAACUCAAGUGGGCUAAUUACAGGGUUGCUCUCUCUGAUUUUCACUCUGGCACAAGGAAUUUUCGUGGCAUUUAGAUAAUUUAUCAAGGGGACUAGGGAACAGAUAAAAGAUUGCGUUUUCCUUUCCAACAUUUGGGGGGUACAUUUGGACAAUAAGAGGAAUGAUUUUUUAAAAAUCGGUCUAGACUUAAAUGAAUGAAAAUUAUGCUCGUUAACUGUAAUGUCUGGACUCGGACCAGGGGUGUCCGGUGUCCUGCCUACCCCCGGGCCACCGUGGUCAAACAAAGCUGCUAAUUCGAAUGUUUUAAGUUUCAAAUUGAGAAAUAUUGUUCUAAUAUGGCAACAAUGGGGCUGUUGUCCUUUCAAGCGCUCUGCCAUUACAGACUCCUUACGGCUCAUUUUAUGCAAAACAAAUGGCAGGUAAUCGUGAUUUAAUUCUUUUCAAGUAAAUUACAGUGAGUGCGUGGCACAAAGCCGCGGCGGACCCUCCCUUCUCCGUCAAUAGCUGAAUUAAUGGUGGCAGGAGUAAAAACAGCAAUUGUGCACAACAGCCCUCCCCGGCUCCCACCCCUGCAACGCGGGACCUGCCAAUCUGGCCGCGCCCCCACCAGGCUGGAACGCUCGGGUCGCCGCCGUUUGGAUGGAACGUUCUGGUGUCACCGCGCGGCGGCCGCAGAGCCCAGGGCUCGCUCCGAACCAGCGUCCCGGCAGGGGUCAGCGUCCGCGCGCUGCGGGCCGGGGCGCGCGGGGACCCGGGGCUUGUGGCCCUGGAAAUGCGAGUUACAGAGCAAAGGGUUCCCCGGGCAGGUCAAGGAUCGGGGCACUUUGAAGAUCCGCUAACCACGCCACGUCCCCUCGGCGAGAGACCCUGGAUGCCUCCGGAGGCAGCGGCCCGGCGAGAGGUGGGGCGGACCCCCGCCAGCGCCGGCGCGGGGGCGCGGGGGCUGCGCGCUGCUGCGCGUCCCUGGGCGCAGGAACCCGAGGGCCGAGACCCGAGCCACUCCGCGCUCACAGCGCCAGUUUUUGCCGAGAAGCCCGCUUGGGGCGAGAGAUGGGGUUGGGGAGCAAGGGAUCAGCUAGGAAAGCAGGGGUCCCCUGUGGCUGAGAGGCCAGGUCUGGUGCUCAGACCCCAGGCUCACCGGGGGAAGCCUGAACCUCUGGAAGGGACUUUGAGAUGAGGCUCUGUUCCUGUACACAGUAGGUGUGCAGUGACCAUUGCAUUGAACUGACGGCCAAAGUACUGCGUGACAUUGUAAAUCACUUUCCAUUGUACUUGGAACAAAAAUCAAACUCUUUCCUGAGGCCCAAGGUUCCGGCUAUGGCCUGGCCAUCUGCUCCAAUAGGUUCUGGAUGCGGAAUGCCUGCCCGCGACCCAAAUGCUGCUUGCACUGUCCUGAAAGGGGGACUUUGAGCAAAUGACUUAACCUCUUUGACCUCAGUUUCCACAGCUGUAAAUGGGGUCAAUAAUGGAACCCUACACUCAAGGACCUUGAUGAGCUUUCACACAGUACUUAAAAUGGUGCUUGGCUCAUAGAAAAGUGCCUGAUAAAUGUUAGGAGGAUUCACUGCACCUGGGCCAUGUCCACAUUUUCCAUCUUCCUGGACCUCCCUGAACGCAUUCCUGCCUCUGCCCCUGCAGACAGGGAUCUUGCCUUUCUCUGUCAUGGCUUCUGCUUCAGGCCUUCACUCAACUGUCACCCCAAGACGUCUUCACUGGCAUGGACCAUCCUGCUCAUCUUUAACUUAAAGCUCUGUGUUCUUCCUAGUAUUGAUCCUGAUCUGAACAGUUUUCACCUUUUUGCUUGGCCAUUAUUUCCUGUCUUCUCCUCAAAGUGUAAGUUCUGCAGAAAUGGAACCUUUCUUCUCUGCAGGCUCUCAGCACUUUGCUCAGUACCUGGAAUGUAGUAGGUGCUCAAUGAAGCCCAGGAAAUGGAUGAAUGGAGUCGCUUCCUCUUUGACCUCAACACCAGAGUGAUUGAACUUGUUAUCUCUUAUGUGCCCAAGUCUGUUGUUCAAGGAUAUAAGCAAAAUCAUCCACGUGGAAAUUUUUAUUUUCAAAACGAGAAAAUAACAAUUUGCUAAAGAAGUCUAAGUUCUCCAGCAGAACUACAGACUGUUCUCAAUGAUGCCAACUUUCUUCCCUACCUGGGUCUGACAUGGGCUGGAACCAGUUUCUGAGAACUCCUCCCAUCCUCCCUGAGCCAGGGGACGAGGCCUGACAGGUGGCUAAGGCCCUUCUAGAUCUCUUCCCUAGUUUUGCCCCACCUUCACCCUCAGUUGAGGCCUUGCUGGUCUGGGCCAGUUUGGUCCUAGGACCCUAUAGAUGUCCCUGUCCUGAGCAAGCCCUGCCUGCUUUCCUCCUGUAGGUCCGGGAGUGCCCUUCCUCCUCCAGUGAGGACAUCUUGUGGCAGGGUCUUUGCCUUUGGCCUCCUGGCCAGAGCUCCUCUGCCCUUUCCAUUGCUCUUCUUUGAUGUUAGUUACAGAUUCACACUUGCUCUUUCUCCUUCAGAGCAGCUGCUUUAUACUGGUUCCUGCUGGGCUACCAGACCCCCUCUCCCCACAGCCUGCCAGGGCUGAGAAGCUGGGUGGGGCUGCCUCAGCAGCUCAAUUCAAGAUACAGGACACACCAAAGUCAAAAUGGAGAGCCUUGAACACUCCCUGUGGACGAGAGGCGAGUCUGGUGUGUAUUCCUGGCCUCACUGCUCACUACCCUGUGAUCCUGGACACCUGACUUCACCUUGAAAGGAUUUCAAGAUACAGCCAUCUCGACAGCCUCCAAAUCAGCCAAGAAGUCCAGGGGCAGAGGAAACAAGGCCGCAGAAGGGUUGAGGUGACACUUGCUGGCAGGCGGAAUGUAAGCUCCACAAGGGCAGGACUUUGUCUUUUUCUCCAGCGUCUCCUGAGUAUCUUGCGUGUAGUAGGUGUUUAAUAAAUAACUGGAGAGUCUCCUGAGGUUUUCUAACCAAAGUAGGACUGCGGGUGCUUGCAGGUGGCCACAGGAUCCACAGGCCAGGGCUGCUGGACCCAAGGGUCACGGCUGCCAUCUCACUCAUGCUGGUGGUCACGGCCCUAUGUGGACACAGAACUCUGAUGAAUGACAGAAGCCACAGUGGACAUGGGGUUUGAGCUUCCUCAGAAAGUGCCAGGAACAGAGUUUGGGUUGUAUUUCACAAGCAGCUCUGGUGCUGGAGUGGCCUGGAGAGUUGUUGACCAUCUUACAUCAACCAGCGCCUGCAGCAUGCAGAGGUGCCCAUGUCUGGAAUAUCGGGAUCCCGGGCAGCAAUUCAGGAGGAACAGGCUGAGGACCUUCUCAUAUGACUGUGAAUGAGUCCCAGCAGGGUGAGCCUCUGGGACCUUGAAUCCAGUCCCUCCUCCUUUUGAGCUGGAUGACCUCAGCUUGGGAACUGGAUCCAGAGCCUCGCACAUGCUAGUCAAGUGCUCUACCACUGAGAUAGCCCCAGUCCCAGCCCGGAUCUUCUGAUUAAGUGGUGUGCCACACAUCCUUGUGUGCUUAGCUGGGAGUCCGUGUCUUCAAGUCAUCAUUCGUCCACUGCAGAGGAAUGUAGACUCUAGGAGUGAAAAUCUUGAGACUCUGGAUAAUGGAAGAGAGAAAACAGAAAACCAGCGAUGUAUACGGUGCAAGCAAGCAGCUUCUGAGGUUGGAACAUUUUCUGCCCUUGUCCCUAAGUAGUUCCUAGAGUCUCUUUGGCCUUUCUAUAGUCAGAGUCAGAGCAAUGGUCCUACACUACCCAAAUUCUGCCUAAGGCUGGUAUGGGACAGCGUUGUGCCGUCGAGGCAGACUCCUUGCUCAGAAGUGUCCCUGGUCCCUCUGUGUACUCCUGCCUCCCCAUCUCCAGUGGAGCCCGGCAGGUCUGCUGCAGGGGGACUGACUGCUCUGGGGUUCUUGUGAGGUUAUAGGAGAAGGUUGGGGUGGCUGCAAAGAAGCACUUCCUGGAAAGGGGUGCACAAUGUCAGCACCAAAGUGCACCUGAUCUUAAGGCAGCCUUGGGCCAGCUUAGCUCCUAGCAGGCCUUCUCUCCUUUCCACCCGGACUGUGUGGCCUCACAGAGGGAUUUGGCGUCACUUAAAGUGACUACUUGGAACAUAGGUUCUCUCUCUUCUUUGAUGAAAAAAUUACUAUGAUUGAACACAACAUCCACCUGCUGUUUCAGCAUCAACAAAUGAAUGAGUCAUGAUGGAUGAGGAGGAAAACCCACAAAUGCUUGGGUGACUUAGGAAAAAAAAAAAACAAAAAACUUUGUUUAGAAUAGGUGGAUACAAUCUCAAUCUAUUCAUUGGGCAAUGUUGUCCGUGAACCGUAUCCCUGGACCAGAAUGAGCCUAGGGGUGUGGCAGGGUAAGGACAGCCUGGUGUCCAAAGCUUGUCCUGUGUGCACAAUUGUCUUAGUUCAAAUGGGGCUGCUAUAACAAAUAUCAGCAAUCAAGUAGCUGCAAAUAGCACACAUUUAUUUCUCACUGCUCUAGAAACUAGGAAGUCCAAGAUCUGGGUGUUAGCAGGUUUGGGUCAGGCAAGGGCCCACUUUCUGGUUUGUAGAUGGCACCUUUUUGUUGUUUCCUCACAUGGAGGAAGGGGCAAGGGAGCUCUCAGUGUUCUCUGACAAAUGGGCACUUGUCCCAUUCAUGAAGUCUUCAGCCUCAGGAGAUGUAAUUGUUUCCAAAGACCUCAGCUUCAAAUACCAUCCCCUUGAGGGUGACAUUUCAGCAUAUGAAUGAGGGGGACACACACAUUAGGACCAGUGUGCUGAGAUAUGGCUUCCCUUCCUGACCCGGCACCUGGUGCUCCUACAUAGUGGGAAGGAGGAGAGAGGCGCAGUCUGAGGCACACAGGCUUUUGAAACAAGUGAAGAAUGCUUAGUUUCACCAAGAGAAAAGGUGCUCCAUGGAAAAGAUCCCUGACAUAUUUAUAAAAAUAUCAGCGACAUUGCAGAUGCCAUGGGAAAAAUAGGGAUGAGUUAGGGGCUGAGCUCUGGUUGUGUGUCUGCUGCCUCAAAGCUGGAACCUACAAGUUGACAUCUCACUUAUCUGGGUCUCAGUUUACCCACCUGGAAACUAAAACCAUUAUACUGGAUGCCUUCCAAAGCCACUCUCAGCUAUGAAACUCCUUGUUUGUUUUGAUUAAAAAUAAUUAUAUUGCUAUAUUAUGUGCAUGCACAAAUAUGUAACAAUGAAUCCCACUAUUAGAUACAACUAUAAUGUACCUAUAUAAAAAAGAACAUUUUUAAUAUAAUAAAUGCAACCAAGCUUCUUAUAGAGAAAUCAGAAAACACAGGUGGGUCAAAGAAAGAAAAUUUAAAAAGUAUAAAAUCUAAAAUUCUAUUGCUGAGCAGUAGACAUCACUUAAAAAUGCAUGUCUAGCCUCACAGGACUUUUAAAAUUCAGCAGACAUUUCCUUUAGUAUUUAUAUUAAAUUAAAUACUUCAGGUAUGGGACCCUAUGAGAUACAUAGCAUUACAAUAAACUUAUUUGUCACUUAACACACCAUUGGCAUUUUAACUGAAAAGACUCCAUAUGCAGAUGCUCCACAUUUGAUUAGGGCCGAACAUUGAAGGGGUUUCAUCUUUUCCACUCUUGUGCAUAAGGCUGCGGGGACGUGCUGCUGGCCACCCCUUCGUGCACAUCUUUAUUGAGUGCAUCACUGUCUGUAUCCUCCAUUGUGGUGGUUGGAAAGGUACAAACGGGAGACGUGUACACACUGUGGACAGCAGAGGCCAGCAUGUUCUGUCGUGUGUGGAGAGGAAGGAUGUUGGGGUCAAAGCCCUGCCAAAGUCGAAGCCCAGGUGGGGGGCAUCUCUGUGUCAGUCUGGCUCUGCCUGGCUGUGCCCACUGAGUGGAGAGUUGGGGGCUGAGCGUUUGGUGAUGGGAGGUUCACAGUGACCAUUGGAGGACCUGCCCCAUGGGAAAGGGCCCAUGGGAGGCAAUCCUGUGUGGAAUACUCUAGAGCCCAGGAUUAUCCCCAUCUUAUGGAUGAAACUGGUGCAGAAAAAGGUUUAAUAGUUUGCCCCAAAUCGUGCCACCUAUGUGUGCCAAUUUUUCUGGAGGUGUGCAGAGUCUCAGGUACAGCAGUGAGUCAUCCUGUUGCCUGGAAGUCAGGAGAAUGUUCUCUGAUAACAAUCAUUGCUCUACUAUUCCCUGAGGAAAGAACGAAGGGGUUCUCCUUCAGUGACUCUUGGAAUGCUCUUUCAUUACCCUCCUCAUUAGGAAAGGGGAGGAAUUAAAAAAAACAAAAAACAACUGAGAUCUCAUAAACAAAUCCUUGCAAGAUCACCAAGUUAAUAGGCCAAGAGCCCCCGAGUUCCUUCAUAAGGAAAGAAACCUUGGGCUGGGAACGGGCUGGUGAGCUCUGAGAGCUCAGCACAGGUUGGUGCGAGACCUUAAGUGUGGCUUGUGCUAUGAAGCAGAGGGAGGCCAUCUGUACCCAUUUCACAGAUGAGUGCCCUCAGGGCCCCAGGGUGCAAGGGACGGGUCUGCUAGUGCAAGGCGCCAGCUGCAGCAGUGCUGGCGAUUCCUUCUGGGUCUACGGAUGACCAUCCCUGCCUUACCAGCUCCACUCUUGAAAGGGUGGAAUGAGGUAAUGUCUCAGAACGUCCCUUGUAAACUAUAAAAUAUUAUAUGUCUAUGUGAGAGAUUACUAUACUUAUAAAGCUAAAUUAUAGCAGAUUUUAAAUGAAAAGCUCAAAUAGCCACGCUGCCGAAUGCUAGCUCUUCAUACUCAUUUCCUGAUGGGACAAAAGGAAGAAUCGCGAAUAUGUACUGAGUUCUGCGGGGGGAUCGAAAUGCUUCUACGCUGUUAACCCAUUGAAUCCUCACAGGUGCUACAAUUAUCCCCAUCUUAUGGAUGAAACGGUUGCAGAAAGAGGUUUAAUAAUUUGCCCCAAAUCGUGCCACCUAUGUGUGCCAAGUUUUCUGGCUCUCAAGUCUAUGAGGUGUUCCUUGGUCACAUAAAAAUGUACCAAGGCCCCUCAAAAGAGGACUUGGGUAUGGUUUGAACAUUCAUGGGUCUUCAGUAAGUCUAGGCAGCCCAAAGGCUUAACCCCUGUUUACCAGCAAGAUUGGCUAUUCCAGUUGGGGGUCCUUCAGCAUUCCAUGCUGGGGACUGUCCCAGGACAGAGAGAUUUAGCUGACCCAUGACCCAGAGGACCCCUUUCUUUCUGAGCCACAUAUGCAGAUAUCUCUGAAGAUGGCCAUCUCUCCUCACUGGCAAUCAUGAAUUUUUAUGAAGCCGGUCCAGAAUUCCCAGAAUCCAGUCGGGUGCACUUUGCAGACCCUAAAAUGCUGUCACCAUGGAAGGUUUCAUUGCUUGCACCUGCUAAAACAUUUGAGGCAUUUGAGAGGCAGUGAAACACAUUUGCUUUUCAUUUUAUCUGACUUUGGAAACCUUUGAAGUGUUUAAUGGUGGAGCCCAGGAAAGAUCUCCGCCUCUUAAUCAUUUACUCGUAAGGCACAUUCUCGGCUGUAGCCUGUCAAGCAGAAACUGAACUGAGCCCACUUUUAUUAAGUGUCACAUGCCCAGUCACUGUUCAUUAAAGGUGUUUUAAGGUUUGAAUUAUGUAAUUUAUGAGAAAAAGAAAUAAAAAUUCCAUUGUUUUAUUAA
Long non-coding RNA from Marmota monax (woodchuck), 8189 nucleotides. RefSeq lists it as uncharacterized. The transcript has 10 exons. Lineage: Eukaryota; Metazoa; Chordata; Mammalia; Rodentia; Sciuridae. The record is from RefSeq and is a predicted model, not a curated record.